This 620-nucleotide ribosomal RNA is filed under the name uncultured Bacteroidota bacterium. RNAcentral's name for it is "bacterial SSU rRNA". It matches the Rfam family "Bacterial small subunit ribosomal RNA", at positions 68 to 684 of the family's 1533-position model. Lineage: Bacteria; Pseudomonadati; Bacteroidota. The record is from RNAcentral.
GGCAUCGGGUGUAGCAAUACAUGCCGGCGACCGGCGCACGGGUGCGUAACACGUAUGCAAUCUACCUUUUACAGGGGCAUAGCCCGGAGAAAUUCGGAUUAAUACCCCAUAACACUAGAAGUGGCAUCACUUUUAGUUGAAAGCUGAGGCGGUAAAAGAUGAGCAUGCGACUGAUUAGUUAGUUGGCGAGGUAACGGCUCACCAAGACUACGAUCAGUAGGGGUACUGAGAGGUUAUACCCCCACACUGGUACUGAGACACGGACCAGACUCCUACGGGAGGCAGCAGUAAGGAAUAUUGGACAAUGGCCGCAAGGCUGAUCCAGCCAUGCCGCGUGCAGGAAGACGGCCCUAUGGGUUGUAAACUGCUUUUGUACGGGAGAAAACCCCCCUUCGUGAAGGGGGCUGAUAGUACCGUAAGAAUAAGCAUCGGCUAACUUCGUGCCAGCAGCCGCGGUAAGACGAAGGAUGCAAGCGUUAUCCGGAUUCAUUGGGUUUAAAGGGUGCGUAGGUGGUUUGGUAAGUCAGUGGUGAAAUCUCUGAGCUUAACUCAGAAACUGCCAUUGAUACUGCUGAACUUGAGUGCAGUUGCUGUGGGCGGAAUAUGACAUGUAGUGGUGA